RNAcentral lists this long non-coding RNA (991 nucleotides) under Apis mellifera (honey bee). RNAcentral describes it as "uncharacterized LOC102655968, transcript variant X2". The record is from RNAcentral. Lineage: Eukaryota; Metazoa; Arthropoda; Insecta; Hymenoptera; Apidae.
UCUGAGCUCUUCGUUCAAAAUUCCCGCAGAUGGGCCCGUGGAUGGCGCCUGUGCCUGAUUCACGUAGUACAAACAUAGCAGCAAAGUGAGAAGGACCGCGCAAACGACGAAAACGCGGCUUGAACCGCGUCGAAGGAUCUUGUACAUGGUACGAAAGUUGGAUUCGCUUCGGGGCAGGCGUUCCUCGAUUUCGAUUCACCUGGUGCCGCGAUAUUGGCUCGAUCCCGUGUCGGUUAUGCUCAACAAUCGCUCCCCGACUUUGCCGCUGUCGCCUGUCGACUUCAUGAGAUACUUUGGCGCCGACACGAUCUGAAAGAAGAAAAGUUAAACGAAAUUAAUAGACUUUGAAUACGUAAAAAAUAUCGAUUACAGACGAUUUAUCGGACACGUUCGCCCCGAUAUAUUAUUGCGAAUAUCGAGACUCGAAAAGCGAGAUCGAAAUAGUAUCGAAUAAAAGAAGAGGACGAGAGGUACGAUUAAAAAAAGAGUGAACCAUUCAGAUGACCAGAACACCAUUUGAAAAAUUCGAAGAAUGAAAAUUAUUGUUGGGAAGAUAGAGAAGGAUUGGAGAAGUCGUAAAAAUUUGAAGAACACGUGUAUCCAAAUUGAAAUGAGCGAGAGGAAAUUGAGGACGAGGAAGGAGCGAUCCAAUUCCGAUGAGAACAAUAAAUACGACCUGGUGAACCAGAGACACGGUUUCCCAGAAACCUUCUGUCUCUCGACGUAAGGUCGGUUCGCACGCGAUAAUCGAUCGUACCUGUCACCACCGACCCUGGCUGAAGAACGAGCCGCGAUUUACACAUUGAAAACUUGAAUAUCGAUUUACCUUUCGUUUCAGUUAUAUUGAAAUUGCAAUCGUUAGAAGACGGAUAAUGACAGAUAAAUAAAUUCGCGAUCCAUUUUCUUCUCAUAUUUUCGUACAUCUAUUUUUUUCUUUUAUAAAUCUAAUAAUUACUUAGCAAACGAAUACAUUAUUAUUGUAUUAAAUUGA